GGCCACGUGGCGGAAUGGUUACGCAGAGGAUUGCAAAUCCUUUUAUCCCAGUUUCGAUUCUGGGGCGUGGCCGCCA
RNAcentral lists this transfer RNA (76 nucleotides) under Candidatus Pelagibacteraceae bacterium. Its description in RNAcentral is "tRNA-Cys". It matches the Rfam family "tRNA". Rfam says of the family: Transfer RNA (tRNA) molecules are approximately 80 nucleotides in length. Their secondary structure includes four short double-helical elements and three loops (D, anti-codon, and T loops). Further hydrogen bonds mediate the characteristic L-shaped molecular structure. tRNAs have two regions of fundamental functional importance: the anti-codon, which is responsible for specific mRNA codon recognition, and the 3' end, to which the tRNAs corresponding amino acid is attached (by aminoacyl-tRNA synthetases). tRNAs cope with the degeneracy of the genetic code in two manners: having more than one tRNA (with a specific anti-codon) for a particular amino acid; and 'wobble' base-pairing, i.e. permitting non-standard base-pairing at the 3rd anti-codon position. Lineage: Bacteria; Pseudomonadati; Pseudomonadota; Alphaproteobacteria; Candidatus Pelagibacterales; Candidatus Pelagibacteraceae. The record is from RNAcentral.